This 497-nucleotide ribosomal RNA is filed under the name uncultured bacterium. Its description in RNAcentral is "partial 16S ribosomal RNA". It matches the Rfam family "Bacterial small subunit ribosomal RNA", at positions 28 to 507 of the family's 1533-position model. The record is from RNAcentral.
GACGAACGCUGGCGGCGUGCCUAAUACAUGCAAGUAGAACGCUGAAGCUUGGUGCUUGCACCGAGCGGAUGAGUUGCGAACGGGUGAGUAACGCGUAGGUAACCUGCCUGGUAGCGGGGGAUAACUAUUGGAAACGAUAGCUAAUACCGCAUAAGAGUAGAUGUUGCAUGACAUUUGCUUAAAAGGUGCAAUUGCAUCACUACCAGAUGGACCUGCGUUGUAUUAGCUAGUUGGUGAGGUAACGGCUCACCAAGGCAACGAUACAUAGCCGACCUGAGAGGGUGAUCGGCCACACUGGGACUGAGACACGGCCCAGACUCCUACGGGAGGAAGCAGUAGGGAAUCUUCGGCAAUGGACGGAAGUCUGACCGAGCAACGCCGCGUGAGUGAAGAAGGUUUUCGGAUCGUAAAGCUCUGUUGUAAGAGAAGAACGAGUGUGAGAGUGGAAAGUUCACACUGUGACGGUAUCUUACCAGAAAGGGACGGCUAACUACGUG